This 421-nucleotide ribosomal RNA is filed under the name uncultured bacterium. RNAcentral describes it as "partial 16S ribosomal RNA". It matches the Rfam family "Bacterial small subunit ribosomal RNA", at positions 360 to 773 of the family's 1533-position model. The record is from RNAcentral.
AAUAUUGGACACUGGGGGCAAGACUGAUCCAGCCAUGCCCCGUGUGUGAAGAAGGUCGUCGGCUUGUAUAGCACUUUAGGUUGGGAGGAAGGGCUUUAGGCUAAUACUCUGCAAUUUUGACGUUCCCAACAGAAUAAGCACCGGCUGAUUUCGUGCCAGCAGCCGCGGUAAUACGAAUGGUGCAAGCGUUAAUCGGAAUUACUGGGCGUAAAACGAGCGGCGGUGGUUUGUUAAGUUGGAAGUGAAAACCCCGGGCUUUACCGGGGAACUGCUUGCAUAACUGCGGUGCGAGAAUACGGUAGUGGGUAGUAGAAUUUUCUGUGGAGCGGUGAAAUGCGUAGAUAUAGGAAGGAACACCAGUGGCGAAGGCGACUACCUGGACUGAUACUGACACUGAGGUGCGAAAGCGUGGGGAGCAAAC